UACGUAGGGGGGCAAGCGUUGUCCGGAAUCAUUGGGCGUAAAGAGCGUGUAGGCGGCCAGAUAAGUCCGCUGUGAAAUCUCGAGGCUCAACUUCGAGCUGUCGGUGGAAACUGUCUGGCUAGAGUCCGGAAGAGGAGAAUGGAAUUCCUGGUGUAGCGGUGAAAUGCGCAGAUAUCAGGAAGAACACCCGUGGCGAAGGCGGUUCUCUGGGACGGUACUGACGCUGAGACGCGAAAGCGUGGGGAGCGAACAGG
RNAcentral lists this ribosomal RNA (254 nucleotides) under uncultured bacterium. RNAcentral's name for it is "partial 16S ribosomal RNA". It matches the Rfam family "Bacterial small subunit ribosomal RNA", at positions 524 to 776 of the family's 1533-position model. The record is from RNAcentral.